This 466-nucleotide ribosomal RNA is filed under the name uncultured bacterium. RNAcentral describes it as "bacterial SSU rRNA". It matches the Rfam family "Bacterial small subunit ribosomal RNA", at positions 338 to 795 of the family's 1533-position model. The record is from RNAcentral.
CCUANGGGAGGCAGCAGUGAGGAAUAUUGUACAAUGGGCGAAAGCCUGACGGAGCAACGCCGCGUGGGGGACGAAGGCCUUCGGGUCGUAAACCCCUGUCAUGGGGAAAGAUGGGCGUCGGGGUGAACAGCCCCGAUGCUUGACGGUACCUCAAGAGGAAGCCACGGCCAACUCCGUGCCAGCAGCCGCGGUAAUACGGAGGUGGCAAGCGUUGUUCGGAAUUACUGGGCGUAAAGGGCGCGUAGGCGGGGAGGUAAGUCGGGUGUGAAAUCCCUCGACUCAACCGAGGAACUGCGCCCGAGACUGCUUUUCUUGAGUCCCGGAGAGGAAGGUGGAAUUCCCGGUGUAGCGGUGAAAUGUGUAGAUAUCGGGAGGAACACCGGUGGCGAAGGCGGCCUUCUGGACGGUGACUGACGCUGAGGCGCGAAAGCGUGGGGAGCAAACGGGAUUAGAUACCCCGNUANUC